UUCGUUGAUAGUAAAAGUAAAAGUGCACCCUUUUUUGUGGGACAGAGGAAUACGAGGAAAUGGAGAGAGCUGACUUAAAUUCAGGAAUGUCAGUAAAGUCUUGAGUAAUCCAGAAUACGUACUUGUUAUGGUUGACUUAUAGUUCCCUACUAUUGGUGGAAGUUAAAUGUACUGAGACUCAUCCCGUUACAAGCACGACCCAAGGCUUUUGCAAUAAAAAAAAAAGAACAGUAUAGACAGUUACUGAUAUCGACUUUUUACAACGCUUUAAUUAGGAUACAGUUAAAAUAUUUUCUAAGUUGAAGUCAUCAUAUAAUGCAUGAGCAUAAGAAAUUGAAAAAAUACACUAUAAUGAUGAGCAUAAUAAAUUGAAAAAAAUCCACCAAUAGGCUUGGAUGGAUCCAUGUCCAGCAAGUCGCGGUUCUUCGAGGCACUGUCGUUUAUACAUCCUGCGGAUGAUUCAGUGUCAACUCAUUCAGUUUCCCCGGCUUCACAUAUCCAGAUUUCACACCAAACAAGAUGAUACCAGGGGUUCAGGUGGUGGCAGUUUAUGAUGCAAAUUUACGUAUGGAUAAUGGAGACAAUCCAUCCAGAUGUAUUACCCUGAGAAUUCUACAUCUUCAACAACACUCACAUCCAGCAAUAACACCUUCUCAAAUCACUGAUACCCCUGAGGGAUCUACAACCUCCAUUUCACAAAAUUCAUCCUGGAGAAAUUCAAAUUGCAGGUUAUCUGGAAAUAGGAAGGCACAGAAUGAUGAAGAAGCAAAUUAUGUAUAUGUCAGCUGUCAUGACAUGAGCCGAUGACAUUUUACAAAUGCAUGAAAGUAACCAAACAGAUCUUGCAGCAAAGACUGGGAAUCUUGUAACAAGUUUUCUGAGACUGUUGCCUGAAGAGAAGAAAAAGAGAAUGGGUCUAAAAUAGUACAAACUUUCAUGUCUGAGUCAUUAGAAGAAUUAUGGAUGUAAAAAAAAAACCCAGUAAAAUAAAAUACUACUACUAAGGCAGUCCCCGGCUUACAACGGGUUCGGCUUACGACGUUCCAAGGUUAAAAUGCUUUCAAUUAUAUUCAUCAGAAAUUAUUUCCAGGUUUACAACACAUGUUCCAGGGUUACGAUGCUUACGACUCUGAUCUGGCAGAAGAAAUAUGACUCCAAAAAUGCAAAAUAAUCAAUAUUUAAAUGUUUUUUUUAAUGAAAAAUGGAAUAAAAAUGCAGUUUACAUAGUUUUUAAUACACCCAA
Long non-coding RNA from Macrobrachium nipponense, 1243 nucleotides. RefSeq lists it as uncharacterized. The transcript has 3 exons. The record is from RefSeq and is a predicted model, not a curated record. NCBI's taxonomy places the organism in Eukaryota, Metazoa, Arthropoda, Malacostraca, Decapoda, Palaemonidae.